RNAcentral lists this small RNA (125 nucleotides) under Marmota monax (woodchuck). Lineage: Eukaryota; Metazoa; Chordata; Mammalia; Rodentia; Sciuridae. The record is from RNAcentral.
GUUGGGUGCGGUGGUGCACACCUGUAACCCCAGAAACCCUGGAGGCUGAGGCAGGAGGAUCCGGAGUUCAAAGCCAGCCUCAGCAACAGCUAGGCGCUAAGCAGCUCAGUGAGACCCUGUCUCUA